AACGAACGCUGGCGGCAGGCCUCAUACAUGCAAGUCGAGCGAUUAAGACUCCUUCGGGAGUGUAUAAAGCGGCGAACGGGUGAGUAACAGGUGGAUGAUCUACCUUCCGGUGGGGGAUAACGGCUGGAAACGGCCGCUAAUACCGCAUUCGGUUAAUACGCUGUGGCGUAUUAAAGAAAGGCGCCUCAAAGCGCCGCCGGGAGAUGAGUCCGCCCCCCAUUAGCUAGUUGGUGAGAUAACAGCUCACCAAGGCAACGAUGGGUAGCCGAACUGAGAGGUUGAUCGGCCACACUGGAACUGAGACACGGUCCAGACACCUACGGGUGGCAGCAGUAGGGAAUAUUGGGCAAUGGGCGAAAGCCUGACCCAGCCAUGCCGCGUGAGUGAUGAAGGUCCUAGAGAUUGUAAAACUCUUUUCUGAGGAAAGAAUGAAUAGGAAGGAAAUGUCCUUAUUUUGACGGUACCUCAGGAAUAAGGAACGGCUAACUCCGUGCCAGCAGCCGCGGUAAACUCG
RNAcentral lists this ribosomal RNA (514 nucleotides) under uncultured bacterium. RNAcentral describes it as "bacterial SSU rRNA". It matches the Rfam family "Bacterial small subunit ribosomal RNA", at positions 29 to 527 of the family's 1533-position model. The record is from RNAcentral.